UACAGAGGUCCCGAGCGUUGUUCGGAUUUAUUGGGCGUAAAGGGUGCGUAGGCGGCGGAGUAAGUUGGGUGUGAAAUCCCGGGGCUUAACCUCGGAAUGGCAUUCAAUACUGCUUCGCUAGAGUACUGGAGAGGAGGCUGGAAUUUACGGUGUAGCAGUGAAAUGCGUAGAUAUCGUAAGGAAGGCCGGUGGCGAAAGCGAGCCUCUGGACAGUUACUGACGCUGAUGCACGAAGGGCCAAGGGGAGCAAACGGG
This 255-nucleotide ribosomal RNA is filed under the name uncultured bacterium. Its description in RNAcentral is "partial 16S ribosomal RNA". It matches the Rfam family "Bacterial small subunit ribosomal RNA", at positions 524 to 776 of the family's 1533-position model. The record is from RNAcentral.